CCAAGCCCCCCCAACCCGUCCCAGGGGACAGCCGUGGAGGGAUCAGGGCUGUCACAUCCCAAACACAUCCCAGUCACGUCUCCCGUGACUCGGUCAGAUCCAAGGAAAAGGCGAGAAUGAAUCCCGAGCAGGCCGGGAAGGAGCGAGGAGCCUGCCUGCAGGAUUUAUGGCACUGAGCUGCCGAGCCCAGAGCAGCGCCCGCGCCGCGCGGGUCCCGCCUCAGCCCACGGAGAAAUUCCUGACUUAUUGAAUCACAUUUGUCAUCCCUAAAUACAUAUGCAGGCCCGUGUUUCUGAAUCCAUAAACAUCUUUAACUAACUCCGCUCAGCAAGGCCUCUUUCAGCAGUAAUUUAUAUUUAACUUUUUCCAUAUGCAGGGCCUGUCGCCUCGGUGUCAUUUCCGGGAAGGACGGGGGGCUGGGAGCGGGGCCGGGGGAGCGCGGCGUGUCUUGGCCCGCUGCAGCGGCCCAGCUGCUGGCACGGCGCGAGAAAUCCACCCGCCAGAGCCAGUGCUCAUUAAUCAUUUGAACUACUAAACUGCCAGCUCCUUUCAAGAUCUUUCAAGAAGUGUUUUCACCCAAAAUAGAGUUGAAAACACGCCGGGCCCUACUUUCAGAGUCUCAUCCAUCUGGCCAUUAUGGGGAGUGUCAGGCGGCUCUGACAGACAAGGCUGCUCUGUUCGAGGGGCCCCGGCCCCACAACCUGUCAUAUCGCGGGGCUGAUGGCAUCUGACAGCUCCAUUUGUACCUCCCCGGAGAUGAAAGGGCCGCUCCUGGCGGCGGGAGAAGGGCAGGGCCGCAGGGAUGAGCUGGGGCAGCCCGGGGUGCCAGCAGCAUCCCUGGCACUGUGCUGGCCCCAUGGGCAGGACACCCAGAGAUGUGUCCCCAGAGCCCAUCGCUGCCCUGGGGCUUGUGGCCACCUGGGCUGUGAUCAAAGCCAGGGGCUGUGCCCACUGCCCACCCCUGGCUGUGGUGCCAAGCUGUCCCUGUGCCCUGCUGGCACAGAGUGUCCCAGCCCUGCCCUGGCCCCCAUCUCCCCCGAACUCACCUGCAGCAUGUGGGUGGGUGCUGUGCACGCCUCCAGUGCUCAGAGCCAGUCCUCAGACCCAGCAGGACAGUCCCCAAACCCAGCAGGACAGUCCCAUGCCCCAAGGGGUUCCCCCACAGCCAGGAGGGCUCAGGGUCUGCCCCACACCGGGACAUCCCAAAAGCAGGUGAGAGCUGCCGAAUCCUGGUGCUCCCCUUGGGGUGGUCCCCAGGUAGGACCCCCCCGAGCUGCCCCAGUGCUGCAGGAUUUCUGUGCCAGCACAGCAACUUGGAAGAGCUGGAGAAUUAUCGAGGAGCAGCAGCCAUGGGGACAGAGCAUGUCCCUGCAGCCAGAGGAGCAGGCACCCAGCCAGCUCCAUCCAUCCAUCCAUCCCAGUUGUUCCCAAAGAAAACCCAACCAGAGUCCCAGAGACUGUGAGAAGCCCAGAAGGAAGGAAGGGCUUUUGGCUCCAUCUCCAUUUUGCCCAGAACAUGGCUCUUCUCACCUCCGAGGGGGACUGUCCUUCUCCAGCCCCUUGGAUGUUACUGGGACUGUGCAGGGAACGGGAACAAAACCCCACAGAGGCAACACUGCUCCAGCAGAAGGCAGGAGUCCCUUUCAGAGGAGCCCUGCCCAGAUCAGGGCUCCAGACCUGGACACCAUCCUCGGCGAUGAGCAGCCCCAUCCUUCUCAUCCAGAGAGGAAAAUACAGCAAACCUUUUGGUGCUUCACUCUGCCCUCUCCUCCCUCUGGGAAGUGCAGAGAAGACAGUGAGUGCUCAGCAAGGAAGAUCUUCAACAGUCCCCAUCUCUGUCCUGUCCUUCUCCCUCGGAGCCCCCAGCCAUGCCGCUCAUGGAGAGGUGGCACCAGGACCUGAGACUCCCACUGCUCCCGUCGCCUUUGGUGCAGCAGCUUCUCCCUCUGCCACGGAUGCACCAGUGGAGAUGCAGGGGUGCUGUGGUGGGCACCAGCACAGUCCCGAGUGCUGCUGGGGAGCCGCCCUUUGCAGCUGUAGGGAACACAAAAAAGGCCAUUUCGGUUCUCUGUUCCACUGAGGUGUCUGCAGGAAGGGUCCAUCAAGCCCCAGAAGCCACCAGAUGCCCAGGAUGCUGCAUCUUUCACCUCCUUCCAAAUUUUGCCAGGCCAGGAGGGGUGAUCCAUGAAUGUUGGGACCACAGGGUGUUGGCAAAGGUCACGUUGCACCCCGCACAGUGUCGGGUGUCCUGUCCAGCUCUGCUCAGCCUGUCGGGGCCAGCUCUGAUAGCACAGGGUCAGCAUUCCACUGUCACCUAUGGCAAAGGCACCUCCCCUGCGGGUCACAUCCUCUGUCCUGCCUCCCUGCACCACGCUGGAAGAUGGGAUGAAGUCCCAUGAAGUCCCAUGAAGCUGCUCCCGGAGGUUUCCACGAACACCCUCAGAAAACCCAAGGGUUUGUGUAAAUCUUUGUUAUUGUGACUCAAGCUCCAGGAGCCUGCUGUGUGCACGGAGCUGCCAGCAGAGCACCCUCCCCUGCUCUCCGGGGAGGUCCAGCUGAAGUGUUGGUGUGUGAGGAUCAGCACUCCUCCGUUUGUCACCGCAAUAAACAGAGGGGUGACUGUCACCCGGCCUGCAGGAAGGAGCAGGAUCGCUGCCACAACUCCGGUGUCAACCUGUGCAAGGAAACCCCAGGGCUUUGUCACCUGCCAGGGCCCUGUGCUGGACUGUCACGCUGACCAGACUCUGCACAAGAGGGAAACCAUGGCCAUGGUCACACCGGGUCACUGGUGACCAGCUGAGGCUGGGUGUCCUGGUCUGGUGAGGAACGUGUCGGCGUAUCGCUGCCAAAGCUGGAAGCGGAGCUGCUGCAGGAUUUGCACCACACACCAACCCAUGGCCAGGGCAGAGGCAGCAGCAGCUCUUCAGGCGUUAUCCAGAGCAAUGUCCACUCCUAUUCGUGGCAUUCCUGGCCGCUGCAGUGCCCCAGGUGCUUGCCCACACUCUUCUGGCCCUGGCACCUUGAGAUCUUUGUCCUUCUCCACUCACCUCGUCCAGCCUCUUGUCGCUUGUGCUGUCCCACUGCUUGGAGUGGCUGGAGGUGAACCCCCACCAGGGCAGUGUGGGGCUCUGCUGGGCACACACAGCUCCACGCACACAACUCGGUGUCACCGCCGUGUCACCGCCGCGUCACCCCGCUGCUCCAGCUGCUCCUCCGGCAGGGCUCCAGCUCACAGCCUGGCACAGGACCUCUGAUGCCACCUCCAAGCACGGCUUUGUCCCUCCAGGUCUGCUCUCAGCUCAUGCAGCACCAAGCGUGCCUCAAAGCAACGCCCUGACCCCAGGCUGGGCACGGGGGUGCUGGUGGGGGGACAGGAGAUGUUCACACCACUCUGGCUUUGAGGACAAACAGAGCCCGUGUUCUCCGUGGUUUCCAGCAGUGCUCACGUGGAAAGAAAAGCUGCUUUAUGUGGCUGAGGAACUUCUCAUCCACCCACCAUGACUCUGCUUUGGCCCAUGCCUCUGCAUCCCGACCUGACCCCUGGGCAGGCUCCAGCCCUCGAGGACGCCGCGCUCCACUCUGGACUCUGAAACGCCUUGUACGUCUGCGGGCAGCCACCUCUGCAUCACCUAAAAGACAUCGGGGAUUUUUGUGCAGAGGAGGAAGGAAAACAACAAGAAAAAAUAGGGCCUGUCUCUUUCAUUCACGUAUUUAUUGGGCGGACAGCGUGGCUGUGGUCAGCUGGGCUUCGGGCUCUACAGACGGGGAUAUUUAUAAGGCACGCGGAGCGGCUCGGCGUGUGCGUCCAAGUCAUUCCUUCCCCGGCACAGGGUAUAAUGUUGCCUUUGUUCAGCUGCCUCCGGCACGGCUGAGCGUGCCGUGCCGCUCGGCCGGGCCCCUCGCCGUGCCCGGCAGCCCCGGUGCAGCCCCGCUCCUUCCACACACGCCACGGCCCUGCAACUGCCACCAUAAAUCAAUAGGAAAGGAGAGGCUGCCAGUUAGACUAAACAAGUGCAUUUGCGAGGAUUGCUAUCCCUCAUUAAUCACUCUGACAGUCCUAAAAACACAUUUCCCCUUUAAUGACUGUAUUUGGAUAAUCAGAGCUUUUUCCUCCCUGCGCGGGGUGAGUGACGGUGGGCGCGACUUCGGCAAGCGCCGGCACCGGGGUCACCGGCGAGUCAAGUGCUGCAGGUCCCCGGCAGCUCGGGGCCAGCUGGGGAAGGAAGGAGCCACC
This 4234-nucleotide long non-coding RNA is filed under the name Taeniopygia guttata (zebra finch). RNAcentral describes it as "lncRNA (ENSTGUG00000020422.1)". Lineage: Eukaryota; Metazoa; Chordata; Aves; Passeriformes; Estrildidae. The record is from RNAcentral.